RNAcentral lists this ribosomal RNA (482 nucleotides) under uncultured bacterium. RNAcentral describes it as "partial 16S ribosomal RNA". It matches the Rfam family "Bacterial small subunit ribosomal RNA", at positions 30 to 507 of the family's 1533-position model. The record is from RNAcentral.
AUUGAACGCUGGCGGCAUGCCUUACACAUGCAAGUCGAACGGUAACGGGCCUUCGGGUGCCGACGAGUGGCGAACGGGUGAGUAAUACAUCGGAACGUGCCCGAUCGUGGGGGAUAACGAGGCGAAAGCUUUGCUAAUACCGCAUACGAUCUACGGAUGAAAGCAGGGGACCGCAAGGCCUUGCGCGGACGGAGCGGCCGAUGGCAGAUUAGGUAGUUGGUGGGAUAAAAGCUUACCAAGCCGACGAUCUGUAGCUGGUCUGAGAGGAUGAUCAGCCACACUGGGACUGAGACACGGCCCAGACUCCUACGGGAGGCAGCAGUGGGGAAUUUUGGACAAUGGGCGCAAGCCUGAUCCAGCCAUGCCGCGUGCAGGAUGAAGGCCUUCGGGUUGUAAACUGCUUUUGUACGGAACGAAAAGCUUUCUUUUAAUACAGGAGGGUCAUGACGGUACCGUAAGAAUAAGCACCGGCUAACUACGUG